CAGUGGGGAAUAUUGCACAAUGGGGGAAACCCUGAUGCAGCCAUGCCGCGUGUGUGAAGAAGGCCUUCGGGUUGUAAAGCACUUUUCAGUAGGGAGGGAAGGUAGUGUAGUUAACACCUGCACUAUUUGACGUUUACCUACAGAAGAAGCACCGGCUAACUCCGUGCCAGCAGCCGCGGUAAUACGGAGGGUGCGAGCGUUAAUCGGAAUUACUGGGCGUAAAGCGCAUGCAGGCGGCCUGUUAAGUCAGAUGUGAAAGCCCGGGGCUUAACCUCGGAAUUGCAUUUUGAAACUGGCAGGCUAGAGUCUUGUAGAGGGGGUAGAAUUUCAGGUGUAGCGGUGAAAUGCGUAGAGAUCUGAAGGAAUACCAGUGGCGAAGGCGGCCCCCUGGACAAAGACUGACGCUCAGAUGCGAAAGCGUGGGGAGCAAACAGGAUUAGAUACCCUGGUAG
RNAcentral lists this ribosomal RNA (452 nucleotides) under uncultured bacterium. Its description in RNAcentral is "bacterial SSU rRNA". It matches the Rfam family "Bacterial small subunit ribosomal RNA", at positions 352 to 793 of the family's 1533-position model. The record is from RNAcentral.